GCAGUCGCCGCGGUAAUACAGAGGGUGCGAGCGUUAAUCGGAUUUACUGGGCGUAAAGCGUGCGUAGGCGGCUUCUUAAGUCGGAUGUGAAAUCCCUGAGCUUAACUUAGGAAUUGCAUUCGAUACUGGGAAGCUAGAGUAUGGGAGAGGACGGUAGAAUUCCAGGUGUAGCGGUGAAAUGCGUAGAGAUCUGGAGGAAUACCGAUGGCGAAGGCAGCCAUCUGGCCUAAUACUGACGCUGAGGUACGAAAGCAUGGGGAGCAAACAGGAUUAGAUACCCGUGUAGUCCCUGUCUCUUAUAC
Molecule: ribosomal RNA, 302 nt
Filed under: uncultured bacterium
Lineage: Bacteria
Description: partial 16S ribosomal RNA
Rfam family: Bacterial small subunit ribosomal RNA
Source: RNAcentral